AUUGUAGUCAUUAUGCCUGUCCGCAUUCCUCCUAAACUUGUUGGGGAAAAGAGUGCAUUUGUUGAUGUAGGCGAAAGUUCAAACUUGUGCGAAAGCUAGAACAACCGUAGAAGAUACGCUUUCACACGCAGUCAUCUGUGCGAUUUUGAUGACAUGUAACGGAAUAUUAUGCCUGGAGGUGGAAAAUAAUCGUUCUCAAAAAUCAGUCGAGCAACGGAGCUACGUGCCUCCAAAUCCAGCCCCUGAGGAACACGACAGUUUCGAGAUCGUAACCUGGACGCCCGCUACAUCCCAGCAGCAAAAUGAAGUGCGAACUCUGCGUUUUUCUCAUCUUCCUGGUCAUCGUCCCAUGCAGGAUGCGCAAGGCGGAAUGCUCGUUACCUAAGGAUAUUGGAAACUGCCAUGUUGGAUGGCAGCUGUCUUGGCAGUGGUACUUCGACCCGGGCAUGGCAGCCUGUCGACCCUUUCUAUAUGGAGGUUGUGGUGGAAACGCGAACAGAUUUGAAUCGUGCGAGCUGUGUAACAGCGCUUGUGAAACUAGCGUCUGUGCCAAGGAGAAGCCUGGACCUAGUCCAUUUUCCAGGAGCGGGAAGCACCACAAGAAGGCACGGUUUCACCGACGACGUUAUCGAGACCAUGACAGCGCGGAAUGAGGGGACGGCAAAUAAAAAAGACGCUCCUGAUUCUGCUGCUUCAACCAACGGCAGCAAUGGGAGCCCCAUCGACCACAGAUGCGCAGCAGAUAUGGUUUCUGAAUAUCGACGGUGCAACUCGUGAAUCAACCAUCAACCUAUUGGCCUUGGGAAUCAUCUCUGGCGGCACCGGAACUGCCUCAGCCCUUCCCCCAGAAGUCCUCAAUGCGCCUCCAGCGUCAGCACCUGUGCCUGGUAUAAAGCUGGCCUGCAACGGGUGGCUCGGCAGUGGGCACGGCAGCAGCGUCAGAAUGCCGCCUAACAAUCCGCUCCUAUUUUGUAUCCUGAUGAGAAAACAUUUUGGGAAUUGCUUCCGCAGUAAUGAUGUAUUCCUUAUCUUGCCGCCGUGCCCACGGCUCCUGUGCGACUUGGUUGGCAAUUCCUGCGCUUCUGUGUGGUACUUGAUCCUUCUGGGUGGCGAUGUCGAGUCCAACCCGGGACCCACACUUGAAGAACUGGCCGCGCAACUGAAGCUUAUCGGGGGGGAAAUAAAAAAUAGCUGAGCAGAGACGAAUGAAAAACUCAAUGAGCUUGAUAAAAAAACCAGAGAAAAUUGCUAGCCUUGAGACUAAAGCGCCUGACUGUGUCAGCAGAGUAGCUGAACUUGAAUGUAGUAUGGAAAUUAUCGCCAAAGAACUAGAUGCCCUUGAAAAUUGAAGCCGCCGUUCUAAACUGAUAGUAUAUGGUUUCGAGGAACAAGAAAACGAGUCGACUCAAGUACUCGAAACAUCUGUAGUUAAGGAAAUUUUUGAGGAUGUACUUGCCAUAACGAUAUUGGGAGUCGAACGCAUUCACCGUCUUGGUAGGGCAAAGCAGGGCGAUGAGCAAAAAACCAGGCCUAUCAUAAUGAAGCUUGUUGACUACCAAGACAAAGCCAACAUUAUGAAAAACUGCUCAAAAUUGAAAGGCUCCACAAUUUCGGCAGGUGAGGAUUUUUCCCAGCCUAUCCAAGAAAUUAGAACGAAGCUGUGGGCUCACACGAAAGAAAAUCGUGAUCGACAGGAAGAAGUACGCCUUGUGUAUGAUAAGGUUAAAGGUAUAGGGAAGGCUCUUUUGUUGGGACAAAAGCAGCAAUAAAAUGAUAGUAGUAACAACAAACGCCAAGCAAAAGGAAAUGAAAAAAGAUGUACCAAGCGAACAAUGUAUCCCGAGAAGCCGAAGUCAGCAACAAUAAUCAACAUAAAUGCUCGCAGUCUCGUUAACGAAGUAGAUCAGCUACAAGCAAUACUCCUGGCACAUGCAGCUGAUUCCGUCAGUAUCACGGAAACGUGCCGGCAUUCCGGUAUUUCUGAUAAGGAAGAUGUACCCCCAGGAUAUGCGAUAGUGCGCAAAGACAGGGAAUCACGUGUUGGGGGUUUCGCGCUUCUUUUUAAGGAAAGGAUCCACUUUUCUACUAUGCCCGAUGUAAAAUAUACUGAAGGUCUGUGGUGCAACGUCCAUCUUCAUGAUACGACCGCGAAAGUGGGUGUUUUGUACAAGCCCCGGAAUUCUGAAAGUGUGUGCCUUGAAUCUUUACUUGACUAUAUGCAAUCGCACGUGCAUGGGGGCUCGAUUGUACUUUCUGGUGAUUUUAACCUUCUCGAGAUUGUGUGGUGUUCCCUUGUCCCUGAAACAAAACUCAAAGCAUCCUACUGGACAUUAAGCUUGGCCUCAAUCUUGAUCAGCCUGUUUCUGCCCCAACUCAUGUACAGGGAACGUCAUCCUCAAUCUUGGACCUUGUCUUUGUCAGUAAGAGUCUUCCUAUAAACGAAUAGCCAGUAGACAUACUUGAUGGACUAUCAGAUCACAAAAUGGUCUUAUGCUCAUUGCCAUUCACUAGCCCACCUACAUUACGUGGCCAAUUAAAGCAAAUACCCGCCUCUAACAAAGCCAAUGAUGACGCUAUAAUGACGUACCUUGCACACGAGUACCCUGAAUUUCAUGAUUUUUUUACCGAUGAACGGUAUAGUAUCGAUGUGGUUUGGCUAACAUUCAAGUUUCAUGUCAUGCAUUGUAUGCGUAAUUUCGUCCCAACUGUGUACAAACCAACUCACAAAUGCAAUCCGUGGAUCACGCGUGAAAUAACUCAUACUAAACGUAAAAUUAAGAGGUUACGAAAAACUAGGAAGCAACGGAAUGUUUCAGGCUACCGUUCUCAAGUAAAUUCCCUUACUAAAUUACUUAAGGAACAAGUGCGUAACGCUAAAGAGAAAUUCUGUGGCUCUACAUUGCACAAGUUUAUUAAGAACGCACCUCACAAAUUCUGUCAGUAUAUGAAUGCAAACCUGACUAAUCCAGCUUCACCAGAUGCGCUAGAUCAGGCUAGAGCCCAUGAUUUUAGCGACUAUUUUCGUUCGGUUUUCACAACUGAUAAUGGUACUGCGAAAAUAAAUCCUGUCUUUUACAAUCAGGAUAAUCGAUUGCUAGGCACGCCUACUUUAUCGGAGGCCGGUAUCCUUUCACUCCUAUUAGAAAUCAAUGAAAAUAAGAGUAGCGGUUCAGACGCAUUUCCCAACAGCUUUUUGAAACGGUAUGCGGAGCCAGUCAGCAAGUAUGUUUAUCUCAUAUAUUCCAAAUCUUUGAAAGACUGUUGCCUUCCUGCUGAAUGAAAAAUUGCUGAAAUUACUCCCGUACUCAAAUCAGGUUGUGCAGCGUCUCCUUCUAAUUACCGGCCUAUUUCUAUCACUUGCACUUGCAGCAAAAUUGUAGAACACAUUGUAUUAAAAUUUUUUGGAAGUUUUAUUGAGUCGAACAACGUCCGCCCCAUGAAUCAGCAUGUCCUUAUAUCUGGAUUAUCCACUUUUACACAGCUUGUCGAAACACUGCAUGACCUGGCCCUCGGAAUUAAUGAGCGCAUUCAAACUGACGUCAUUUUUCUCGAUUUGUCGAAGCCUUUUGUCCGCGUCUCGCACACUAAACUACUCCUUAAACUUAAUUAGAUAUUAUGUGAUGGCUCACUUUACCAAUGCAUUAAAAAUUUCUUAACUGGCCGCUACCAAUUUGUACAUUACCGCUCUCACUCCUUCAAUCUUGCUCCAGUGUUAUCAGGCGUUCCCCGGCGAUGUGUAUUAGCGCCAGUUUUGUUUUUAAUAUUUAUAAAUGACAUAACUAACUAUGCUGACGUGAAACUCAGGCUCUUUGCUGAUGACUGCAUGCUCUAUAGUGAAGUACGACACCGCGAUGACCAGGUGAAAUGAAAUAAUGCCUUAAAUCAAAAAUCUCAGUGGUGUGUAGAUUCGCAAAUGACAACUAACAUUGAUAAAACCGUUUUUAUGUCCAUUGCAAAUAAAGCGUCUAAGCUUGAUUUUCCAUACCAUUUUAACGAUGUGCCACAUCGUAGUGUAAACCAGUGUAAAGACCUUUGUCUCAUUAUAUCGUCUAAUCCCAGCUGGAAAGAGCACGUGCGUCAAGUGUCAAAUAAAGCAUUAAACAAACUGUUUUUCAUUAAGCGGGCCUUGUCAUAUUCUACACAUAAAACAAAGCUUCUUGCAUACGUCACUUUUGUCCACCCAGUCUUAGAAUACGCCAAUACUGUGUGGUUCCCUCACACUGCGAACGAUAUUGCCAUUUUCGAAAGGGUGCAGCGGAAAGCGGUACGUUUUAUCUUUAACAGAUACGGACGCGUUGACUCGCCUACGGCUCUGUUACAGCGAGGUGGUCUAGCUACCCUUGAAAGUCGCGCAAAGCUAUUUCAGCUCCAAAAUUUGUAUGCCAACUAUUGCAUAAAUCAUUCCGUCUAAGCCCUGGCUCUUACAUGAAAUUUCGUGAUACUAGUCAGGCCAGAAGACGCCAUGCAUGGGAACUUGUACAAUAUACAUUUAUUAUUAAUACGUUGCGCUAUUCUUUCUUCCCACACUCAAUUCUUGAAUGAAAUACACCGGAUGUAGUCGCAAAACAGCAGCAACACUAGCAAAGUUUAUGGAUUUAAUUGCGCAUGAUGUAUCAGCCUAAAAGUUGUCAAUAUAUGUAACUAAUUGCUUACGCCAUCCAAUCCAUCCCGAUUUAGUUUGGGAUAGAAAAGCACUUGCCCGCACUUUUUGUUCUCUACAUUUUGUAUUUGAAUGGUACCUUCUACCCUGCAUUUGUCUUCUAGUUUUCCUGCUGGUUGAUGUACAUUGGCUUCAUUGUGUGUAUCUUUAUGUAUGAAUGUACUACUGCUAUCCUUGAUUAGUCUACAAUCAUUGUGUGAUCUUUCUUUAUAGAGUGUUUUAGUAGUGUUCAUUGAUGCGACUUAUUGAUCACCCCUGUAAUAAUCCCCAUGGGCGACUGACAGUAUUCUAUAAAUAAUUAAAUGAAUAAAUAAUACCUUUUUGUAAAAAGCUGCGAUCGCGUCGAUGUAAAAAUGCUUGUAAAAAUGUCUUUUAAAAGAUGAUCAUUUAUUUUGCAAUUUUCCCAAACAAAUGUUUAAUUUUCAUCUUUUGUUUUUCGUCACGAUAUGUUACGAGACAGUGUUCACUGAAUGAUACUGGUUGAAUUAAUACCUGCUAUGCAACCGCGUGUGGCUUUGACCUUGAAAAUGGCUAAAGCGUAGUCACACACACACAACAUUCACAGACGUCUGCCAAACAAUGCUGACUGAUGAGAGUAUAUAAGGAAAGAACACUGACAUGCCUAAAAGGGUCGAGCCUGUUUAAUGUUUGGCAUGGAUACGCAAUUAGAGUCACCAAUGAUAAUUACAAAUAUUUCCGUAGCACAUUAGGUACUGAUAAUUUCAAAAAUGUACAUUAGGCACCAACUGCAAUAAAGUAUUAUAACAUCACAAAGAAUGAAACGGCCGGAAUUACAUGCGGUGAAUUCUUUUAGAACUGCACCCUAUGUCCUAGGUAUCAUGAAAGCAUUCCCUGCCGACUUACACACGGCGCCAAGUAAACACUGAAACUGGAAAACAUAUGUGAUACGAGUAAAAUACUGUCGUACGAGUAACCAUUCCGUUUAAAAUAUUUUCCCUGUAGAAAAACAACAAAAGUUAUUUUGUUGUUUAUUCUUUCAUUCUUCGUGGCCCCUAUCAACCAGCGAUUCCGGUGCAAGACUUAGCAAGACUCUGUAGAGCAGCUUUUAUAUCGUGCAGGAUCGCGGUGCUCAUUUAAACGCGGCGGUUUCAUCCGCGUGUAUUUAUUGCGUGUUUGUUCAAAGUGUAGCGUAUACUUUGCUACAAAUGUUGCUCGACAUAGCCCACGACAUUCAUUGGCGAAAGGUGUGGGUGCAGGUUUUUUUGUUAACCUUCCACUUCACGCUGCGGCAUCCGACGCGCCCUGUCUCGUCGUGACGGUAAGUGCGGAAAGCUCCGCGAAGAAACGUCGCGCUGCGUUCGUUCACUCUUCGUAACAAAGUCUCUGACUGUCGGACGGGAAGCAAAAUUAGUAAGUCGAGUGUUUUCUAAAUUAUAACUUUUCCAUACUAAUACUUGGUGUUACACGGAAUUCCUAAUGAUUCUGCGGAAAGCUUUCGCAUAUGUUGCUGUACAUUACGACUGUGUGCUGCAGCCAUAGUAUUUCUCAUCUACUGAGAGAUAGGUCUUGCUUGGUCAAUUUUGUUGGCCGCAUUAUUCAAGACGAAUAAAAGUGAAGUUGCUUUUAAUA
Non-coding RNA from Dermacentor andersoni, 6250 nucleotides. The record is from RefSeq and is a predicted model, not a curated record. NCBI's taxonomy places the organism in Eukaryota, Metazoa, Arthropoda, Arachnida, Ixodida, Ixodidae.